ACCGAAGCUGCGGCAGCGACACUGUGUGUUGUUGGGUAGGGGAGCGUUCUGUAAGCCUGUGAAGGUGUGUCGUGAGGCAUGCUGGAGGUAUCAGAAGUGCGAAUGCUGACAUAAGUAACGAUAAAGCGGGUGAAAAGCCCGCUCGCCGGAAGACCAAGGGUUCCUGUCCAACGUUAAUCGGGGCAGGGUGAGUCGACCCCUAAGGCGAGGCCGAAAGGCGUAGUCGAUGGGAAACGGGUUAAUAUUCCCGUACUUGGUGUUACUGCGAAGGGGGGACGGAGAAGGCUAUGUUGGCCGGGCGACGGUUGUCCCGGUUUAAGCGUGUAGGUGUGUGUUCCAGGUAAAUCCGGUUCACUUUAACACUGAGGCGUGACGACGAGGCACUACGGUGCUGAAGCAACAAAUGCCCUGCUUCCAGGAAAAGCCUCUAAGCAUCAGGUAACAUCAAAUCGUACCCCAAACCGACACAGGUGGUCAGGUAGAGAAUACCAAGGCGCUUGAGAGAACUCGGGUGAAGGAACUAGGCAAAAUGGUGCCGUAACUUCGGGAGAAGGCACGCUGACACGUAGGUGAAGUGAUUUACUCAUGGAGCUGAAGUCAGUCGAAGAUACCAGCUGGCUGCAACUGUUUAUUAAAAACACAGCACUGUGCAAACACGAAAGUGGACGUAUACGGUGUGACGCCUGCCCGGUGCCGGAAGGUUAAUUGAUGGGGUCAGCGCAAGCGAAGCUCCUGAUCGAAGCCCCGGUAAACGGCGGCCGUAACUAUAACGGUCCUAAGGUAGCGAAAUUCCUUGUCGGGUAAGUUCCGACCUGCACGAAUGGCGUAAUGAUGGCCAGGCUGUCUCCACCCGAGACUCAGUGAAAUUGAACUCGCUGUGAAGAUGCAGUGUACCCGCGGCAAGACGGAAAGACCCCGUGAACCUUUACUAUAGCUUGACACUGAACAUUGAGCCUUGAUGUGUAGGAUAGGUGGGAGGCUUUGAAGUGUGGACGCCAGUCUGCAUGGAGCCGACCUUGAAAUACCACCCUUUAAUGUUUGAUGUUCUAACGUGGACCCGUUACCCGGGUUGCGGACAGUGUCUGGUGGGUAGUUUGACUGGGGCGGUCUCCUCCUAAAGAGUAACGGAGGAGCACGAAGGUUGGCUAAUCCUGGUCGGACAUCAGGAGGUUAGUGCAAUGGCAUAAGCCAGCUUGACUGCGAGCGUGACGGCGCGAGCAGGUGCGAAAGCAGGUCAUAGUGAUCCGGUGGUUCUGAAUGGAAGGGCCAUCGCUCAACGGAUAAAAGGUACUCCGGGGAUAACAGGCUGAUACCGCCCAAGAGUUCAUAUCGACGGCGGUGUUUGGCACCUCGAUGUCGGCUCAUCACAUCCUGGGGCUGAAGUAGGUCCCAAGGGUAUGGCUGUUCGCCAUUUAAAGUGGUACGCGAGCUGGGUUUAGAACGUCGUGAGACAGUUCGGUCCCUAUCUGCCGUGGGCGCUGGAGAACUGAGGGGGGCUGCUCCUAGUACGAGAGGACCGGAGUGGACGCAUCACUGGUGUUCGGGUUGUCAUGCCAAUGGCACUGCCCGGUAGCUAAAUGCGGAAGAGAUAAGUGCUGAAAGCAUCUAAGCACGAAACUUGCCCCGAGAUGAGUUCUCCCUGAGACUUA
RNAcentral lists this ribosomal RNA (1649 nucleotides) under Salmonella enterica subsp. enterica serovar Heidelberg. RNAcentral describes it as "bacterial LSU rRNA". It matches the Rfam family "Bacterial large subunit ribosomal RNA", at positions 1193 to 2824 of the family's 2925-position model. The record is from RNAcentral. Lineage: Bacteria; Pseudomonadati; Pseudomonadota; Gammaproteobacteria; Enterobacterales; Enterobacteriaceae.